AAAGUACGUUCUUGAACUUGGUGAUGAAAGUCCGAAUUGUUUCGUUCGGCCCUUGAGAUAGAUUCCAAAGAUCGGUAUCCGAAAUGCUUUUAUCCAUAAGAAUGGAAUAUUGUUUCAAAAAUACUGCUAAUAGCUCAUUGAAGUUGCUGAUCGAUCCUGGUUCCAACUGGGUGAACCACAUCAGGGCUUGUCCGCACAGAUUCUCAGAGAAAAGCUUGCAGUUUCCUGCAUUUUCAUCGGCCUCGUUCAGAUCAACUCGCCCAGCAGCAAUUAGAAAAACUGCAAGAUAGCCUUUCAGAUCUUCCAAACCGUUGUACGGUUCUAAGUUAAGCUUUCAGGAAUCCCUGAUCCUCAAGCUGGCAAUUUGCAGGGUGAAAGGUGUUCGCCUAGCUUCUUUGAUGACCCGGUUGAUAUCCGGUUCCGAGCUUAUAGCUUGGUGGAAUUUUGACCUCAUUUCUUUCAAUUCCCGGCUUACUUUUCUCAUGGUUUCGAACUGGUUGAAAUUUUCUUGCUCGUGUUGAUUCGCGAACUGAUUAUCGUCUUCGGGAUGCGUUUCUCCAUCUUCCGGUUGUAUGUCCGCGUUUGUACCAUCCGGGGUUGUUUGAUCACUUGCUGCUCUUCGCGGAAGGGAAUUUGGGGAACCGAAGAUAGUUCUUCGAACUCCAGAGGAAUUGCCUGCAUUCAAAGAACGAACACGAGACUGAAUAGUACUAACAUUUUGACUGAGUGAUACCUUAGUUGUUUGUAGUGUUUCGACGGUUUUUUCCACAUUCGAAAACUUCUGCACCAUUUCCGCCAUAGUUUGCUGCAUGGUUUUGAGAGUUUCGGCUAAUGAAGCGUUGGUAGCAUCUUCUCCAGACAUUGCUGCUCACUUCGGAAAUGUAAUAGAUAGAAAAAAUCUGACGACUCAAGAAUCCUCCGUCCCCACAGACGGCGCCAAAAUUUGGAUGUCGGAUUCACACACUCAAAUAUUUAUUUAUUUAGUGAGAAGGAUUAUUCUUGAGGACAAAUGUACUAGAAAAUAAACUAAUGAUUAUAGAGAAAACUAUGAGUUUUGUAAGAAAAUGCCUAAGAAUCCAAUAUAUAAAAUCAGAUGUUCAAAAACAAAUAUGCCUAAGAAAAGGGAAAUUUGGUCGUUUGUACCACAUUCACCAAAAAAAACUAUCCGUUUGUAACACAUUCAUGGAGACAUACAAGUUUCGUGGACCAAUAUGCCCUUGACGGAGACAUGUGUCAGAGGAAGAGAGAGAAUUCCAGUGGAGAAAAUAUUUGCAAAACAACGCAUUUACUGCUUUUGUGUACGUAUUUAAUAAAUGAUACUUUAUUAGCUGAGACAAUAAUUAUUUGUGUUUUAACAAAUAAUUCUACAGUUUCAUUGUUGAAGUUCAAAAAGAUUUUGGAUUAUGUUCCCCCAUUACAAUAUUUUGUCUUCGAGUUUCGUUUGUUUGUUGUUUAUCCAGAUCAUUUUCGAGUUUUUUUUGUCUCCGUUUGGUAGAUCCAAAUUGUCAGAUGAUGAAUAGUAUUUAUGACGACAACUGAACAAUUUUUUUUUUAGUUAAAACUAAACUAUUUAUCAU
Molecule: small RNA, 1577 nt
Filed under: Arabidopsis thaliana (thale cress)
Lineage: Eukaryota; Viridiplantae; Streptophyta; Magnoliopsida; Brassicales; Brassicaceae
Description: ATSL160780
Source: RNAcentral